GAACGCUGAAGGAGGAGCUUGCUCUUUCCGGAUGAGUUGCGAACGGGUGAGUAACGCGUAGGUAACCUGCCUGGUAGCGGGGGAUAACUAUUGGAAACGAUAGCUAAUACCGCAUAACAGUAGAUAUUGCAUGAUAUCUGCUUGAAAGGUGCAAUUGCAUCACUACCAGAUGGACCUGCGUUGUAUUAGCUAGUUGGUGAGGUAACGGCUCACCAAGGCGACGAUACAUAGCCGACCUGAGAGGGUGAUCGGCCACACUGGGACUGAGACACGGCCCAGACUCCUACGGGAGGCAGCAGUAGGGAAUCUUCGGCAAUGGACGGAAGUCUGACCGAGCAACGCCGCGUGAGUGAAGAAGGUUUUCGGAUCGUAAAGCUCUGUUGUAAGAGAAGAACGAGUGUGAGAGUGGAAAGUUCACACUGUGACGGUAUCUUACCAGAAAGGGACGGCUAACUACGUGCCAGCAGCCGCGGUAAUACGUAGGUCCCGAGCGUUAUCCGGAUUUAUUGGGCGUAAAGCGAGCGCAGGCGGUUAGAUAAGUCUGAAGUUAAAGGCUGUGGCUUAACCAUAGUACGCUUUGGAAACUGUUUAACUUGAGUGCAAGAGGGGAGAGUGGAAUUCCAUGUGUAGCGGUGAAAUGCGUAGAUAUAUGGAGGAACACCGGUGGCGAAAGC
RNAcentral lists this ribosomal RNA (674 nucleotides) under uncultured Bacilli bacterium. RNAcentral describes it as "bacterial SSU rRNA". It matches the Rfam family "Bacterial small subunit ribosomal RNA", at positions 64 to 722 of the family's 1533-position model. The record is from RNAcentral. Lineage: Bacteria; Bacillati; Bacillota; Bacilli.